RNAcentral lists this ribosomal RNA (596 nucleotides) under thelephoraceous ectomycorrhiza S68. RNAcentral describes it as "eukaryotic LSU rRNA". It matches the Rfam family "Eukaryotic large subunit ribosomal RNA", at positions 47 to 618 of the family's 3401-position model. The record is from RNAcentral. Lineage: Eukaryota; Fungi; Basidiomycota; Agaricomycetes; Thelephorales; Thelephoraceae.
UAAGCGGAGGAAAAGAAACUAACAAGGAUUCCCCUAGUAACUGCGAGUGAAGCGGGAAGAGCUCAAAUUUAAAAUCUGACGUGCCUCUGGUCGUCCGAGUUGUAGUCUGGAGAAGUGUUUUCCGUGUUGGACCGUGUAUAAGUCCCUUGGAACAGGGCGUCAUAGAGGGUGAGAAUCCCGUCUUUGACACGGACUACCAAUGCUUUGUGAUGCGCUCUCAAAGAGUCGAGUUGUUUGGGAAUGCAGCUCAAAAUGGGUGGUAAAUUCCAUCUAAAGCUAAAUAUAGGCGAGAGACCGAUAGCGAACAAGUACCGUGAGGGAAAGAUGAAAAGCACUUUGGAAAGAGAGUUAAACAGUACGUGAAAUUGCUGAAAGGGAAACGCUUGAAGUCAGUCACGUCUGCCAGGACUCAGCCUCGCUUCUGCUUGGUGCACUUUCUGGUUUGAUGGGCCAACAUCAAUUUUGACCGCUGGAGAAAGGCUUUGGGAAUGUGGCACCUUCGGGUGUGUUAUAGCCCUUUGUCAUAUGCAACGGUUGGGAUUGAGGACUGCAGCACGCCUUCAUGGCCGGGGUUUUGCCCACGUACGUGCKUAGGA